CCUGCUUAAACAUAUAACGUUACAACAUAGCAGGUAAGCCUCUACAGACAGCUGAAACAUAUAACGUUACAACAUAGCAGGUAAGCCUCUACAGCCAGCUGGAACAUAUAACGUUACAACAUAGCAGGUAAGCCUCUACAGCCAGCUGAAACAUGAAAUGUUACAACAUAGCAGGUAAGCCUCUACAGCCAGCUGGAACAUGAAACGUUACAACAUAGCAGGUAAGCCUCUACAGCCAGCUGAAACAUAUAACGUUACAACAUAGCAGGUAAGCCCCUACGGCCAGCUGGAACAUGAAAUGUUACAACAUAGCAGGUAAGCCUCUACAGCCAGCUGAAACAUGAAACGUUACAACAUAGCAGGUAAGCCUCUACAGCCUGCUUAAACAUAUAACGUUACAACAUAGCAGGUAAGCCUCUACAGACAGCUGAAACAUAUAACGUUACAACAUAGCAGGUAAGCCUCUACAGCCAGCUGGAACAUAUAACGUUACAACAUAGCAGGUAAGCCUCUACAGCCAGCUGAAACAUGAAACGUUACAACAUAGCAGGUAAGCCUCUACAGCCAGCUGAAACAUGAAACGUUACAACAUAGCAGGUAAGCCUCUUACAGCCAGCUGAAACAUAUAACGUUACAACAUAGCAGGUAAGCCUCUACAGCCAGCUGAAACAUAUAACGUUACAACAUAGCAGGUAAGCCUCUACAGCCUGCUUAAACAUAUAACGUUACAACAUAGCAGGUAAGCCUCUACAGACAGCUGAAACAUAUAACGUUACAACAUAGCAGGUAAGCCUCUACAGCCAGCUGGAACAUAUAACGUUACAACAUAGCAGGUAAGCCUCUACAGCCAGCUGAAACAUGAAACGUUACAACAUAGCAGGUAAGCCUCUACAGCCAGCUGAAACAUGAAACGUUACAACAUAGCAGGUAAGCCUCUACAGCCAGCUGAAACAUGAAACAUUACAACAUAGCAAGUAAGCCUCUACAGCCAGCUGAAACAUAUAACGUUACAACAUAGCAGGUAAGCCUCUACAGCCAGCUGGAACAUGAAACGUUACAACAUAGCAGGUAAGCCUCUACAGCCAGCUGAAACAUAUAACGUUACAACAUAGCAGGUAAGCCCCUACGGCCAGCUGGAACAUGAAAUGUUACAACAUAGCAGGUAAGCCUCUACAGCCAGCUGAAACAUGAAACGUUACAACAUAGCAGGUAAGCCUCUACAGCCAGCUGGAACAUGAAACGUUACAACAUAGCAGGUAAGCCUCUACAGCCAGCUGAAACAUAUAACGUUACAACAUAGCAGGUAAGCCCCUACGGCCAGCUGGAACAUGAAAUGUUACAACAUAGCAGGUAAGCCUCUACAGCCAGCUGAAACAUGAAAUGUUACAACAUAGCAGGUAAGCCUCUACAGCCAGCUGAAACAUGAAAUGUUACAACAUAGCAGGUAAGCCCCUACAGCCUGCUUAAACAUAUAACGUUACAACAUAGCAGGUAAGCCUCUACAGCCAGCUGAAACAUGAAAUGUUACAACAUAGCAGGUAAGCCUCUACAGCCAGCUGAAACAUGAAAUGUUACAACAUAGCAGGUAAGCCUCUACAGCCAGCUGAAACAUGAAACGUUACAACACAGCAUUCAUUUUCUCUCCCUCCUUCCUUCCUACAUCCCGGCCGGCUGGCACUCUGUCGUGCUCCAACUCCCUCACUCCCUCUCUCCCUCACUCCCUCUCUCCCUCACUCCCUCACUCCCUCUCUCCCUCACUCCCUCACUCCCUCUCUACUUCUUUCCAUCUCCCCUAUGCUCUUUCUCUCAUCCUCAGAAGCGGAGGGCUGCCAUUUUGCUUGCAUGCAAAGGGACUAAUGCCUUUGGCUAUCAUAACGUUCAUAGUGCUCUUUUCUGCCUCCCAAAUGGCACCCUGUGGGUCCUGGCCUAAAGUAGUGCAUUAAACAGGGGGUACGGUGUCAUUUGGGACGCAGACAUCAUGUUGAGAUGAAUGCUGAGUAGCUCUGUGCAGACAGACAGACAGACAGACAGACAGACAGACAGACAGACAGACAGACAGACAGACAGACAGACAGACAGACAGACAGGGGUGAGUGUGGAAGGGGACGUUCGGGGACUUACUUUCCGUCCGUUCUUUAGACAGGUAUGUCUGUGAUGAUGUCAAAUACACUAUCAUUCCCAUAAUACAGCCAGAGACAUGAGCUCUGUUCAGUCACUUUCAGCAGAAUAGUUGUUAGCUAUUCUUGUUGUUAUUGUUGUUUAGUGAACGACAACAACAGUUGAUGCAAGUUUGGAUAUGCCAGAAGGUCUUGAUUCAGUAAUGCCCCAGAAACACAUCUCUUAGAGUUGGAAGGUGAUCGCUGGGCACAAUGGAAGGCUGUUUCUAUACUGAAGGGGUUUGUUUGUUGUCACACAACAGACUUAACAGGCAGACUAACAGAGGAUGGAUGGAUGGAUGGAUGGAUGGAUGGAUGGAUGGAUGGAUGGAAUCUACAACCACGUGAACACUCUAGAACCAUUUGAACACUCUAGAACCAUAUGAAAAAUUUAGAACCAUGUGAACACUCUAGAACCAUGUGACCACUCUAGAACCAUGUGAACAUUCUAGAACCAUAUGACUGCUCUAGAACGAUGUGAACACUCUAGAACCAUGUGAACAUUCUAGAACCAUGUGACCACUCUAGAACCAUGUGAACACUCUAGAACCAUGUGACCACUCUAGAACCAUGUGAACAUUCUAGAACCAUAUGACUGCUCUAGAACCAUGUGAACAUUCUAGAACCAUGUGAACACUCUAGAACCAUGUGACCACUCUAGAACCUUUUGAACAUUCUUGAACCAUGUGACCGCUCUAGAACCAUGUGAAUACUCUAGAACCAUGUGAACAUUCUAGAACCAUGUGACUGCUCUACAACCAUGUGAACACUCUAGAACCAUGUGAACACUCUAGAACCAUGUGAACACUCUAGAACCAUGUGACCGCUCUACAACCAUGUGAACACUCUAGAACCAUGUGACCACUCUAGAACCAUGUGAACAUUCUAGAACCAUAUGACUGCUCUAGAACCAUGUGAACACUAGAACCAUGUGAACAUUCUAGAACCAUGUGACCACUCUAGAACCAUGUGAACACUCUAGAACCAUGUGACCGCUCUAGAACCAUGUGAACUCUCUAGAACCAUGUGAUUGCUCUACAACCAUGUGAACACUCUAGAACCAUGUGAACACUCUAGAACGUGGCCUCUGUUGAACUUCCCACAUCAGGGGUCAGUGGAUGCCAUUCCAUAUUUUGUUUCUGUCAAGUUCACUCUCUCACUCAUCUUCUUUCUCUCUCUCUCUCUCUCUCUCUCUCUCUCUCUCUCUCUCUCUCUCUCUCUCUCUCUCUCUCUCUCU
This is a long non-coding RNA of Oncorhynchus keta (chum salmon), 3393 nucleotides long. RefSeq lists it as uncharacterized. The transcript has 3 exons. The record is from RefSeq and is a predicted model, not a curated record. NCBI's taxonomy places the organism in Eukaryota, Metazoa, Chordata, Actinopteri, Salmoniformes, Salmonidae.